Non-coding RNA from Elaeis guineensis (African oil palm), 1329 nucleotides. The record is from RefSeq and is a predicted model, not a curated record. NCBI's taxonomy places the organism in Eukaryota, Viridiplantae, Streptophyta, Magnoliopsida, Arecales, Arecaceae.
UUGAGUGUAAACCACAGAACCGUUCACCUCCGGCCCCCUCUCCCGCCGAUCUUUCUCUACUCCGACGUCCGGCCCCCUCUCUCUACGAUGAAAUAGGGCUUUUCAAUUUCCUUUCACGUCCAAUGCUUCUCGCUACCCUAUUCAAGAAUUGGGUUCCAGGAGUGAUUUGUGUCUGAAAACUCUGCUUCGUGAAGUAAUCAUAGUUUGUCUUCGUUUGUCCUAAAACAUUUUGAUUGUAGAAUUGUUAGGACAUCUUUUCUUCUAAAAUCUUAUUUACAGCUAGAGAACCAGGACAUACCAGGCCCUAGCUUCAAAACUCAUCCGAACAUCAACAAAGAGUUAUUUAACAGCGAGCAUAUUAUGGGUUUGAAAGAUCCAAACAGGUCAUUCCCUACUGAUCAAAAUGAUGUUGGUCUUAUGAAAUGGAGAAUUCAGGGCAUGGAUGAGUCCUCUUUGCCAUUAACUGUUAACUGCUGGCCCUCAGUUUCUGGAAAUGAAACUUCUGUAUGAACAUUGAGUAUAAAGCUUCAAAAAUGUUUGACUUGCGAAAUGUUGUGAUAUCCAUACAUCUUCCUGCACUUCGGGAGCAACCUAGUGUGAGGCAGAUUGAUGGAGAAUGGAGGCAAGUGUUCUGAAAUUUAGGUACCUCUAAUGAUGAAAGUUGACAGAAUCAAAAGGGACUUCAACUUAUCAGUAAACUAGAUGGCAGUUUUAUACGCAUAGUGGUUACAGUUGAGAAAGCAAGUGACAAGGGAGGUUGGAUCUGACAGCAAUACUGGAUCACCACCUGUUUAUUCGAUGAUUGACGAUGCGAUCCUGGAUGUAGUCCUCAGAUGAUAGAUAAGGCCUGGGCACAACAUGCAUUCCUUGAAGAAAUUCUAUUGCAGUUCGUCGUCCGACCAAUCCGGAUGGUCUGAUGAUGCCUCGGUGCCAGAGACAGUCAGGACAUCAAUGAGCUCGAUACAGGGUGAAAUUGAUUACUAGAUAAAUCGCAAUCAAACUUUUGAAAGGAUAGUGGCUAUGAUGGUGGGAUGCCUCGAUAUUGAUGUCUCUGAGUUAGUAGCCCUAUAGCCGCAUGAUGUCGCCUCUGCACAGUCAUUGAGACACACAUUGAGUCAAAGAUCAAUGCCUGGAGAAGAGAACGAGGCUAACAACUCUGAUGAUUCAUAGUUUGUAGGUUUUUAUAUUUUAAAUAGUAUAUGAAUUUGUGAACUCAUACUUUUGUAUCUGUUAAUGACAUAUGUGAAACUUAAUGAUGCUUGGAUCUUAUGGAUAUGGUUUGUAUAUAUGUUAUGUUUUGAUUGAUAUGGUAGUGCAUUAAACAUAUUU